RNAcentral lists this small RNA (424 nucleotides) under Pan troglodytes (chimpanzee). RNAcentral's name for it is "processed transcript". The record is from RNAcentral. Lineage: Eukaryota; Metazoa; Chordata; Mammalia; Primates; Hominidae.
ACUGGGGCCAUCACGGCAUCAGCAGAUUCCGUGCCUGAUAGCCACAUCCAUCAUGCUGCGCAAAAUCCUCUUUCACUCCCCUCAGAUGAUCAAGAAGUCCAGAACAACUGAAAUGGCUCUGGAAAGCUUGAAGCAGCAGCUGGUGGACCUUCAUCAUUCUGAAUCACUUCAACGAGCUAGAGAACAGCAUGAGAGCAUUGUUAUGGGCCUCACAAAGAAGUACGAAGAGCAAGUAUUGUCCUUACAAAAGAAUUUGGAUGCCACAGUCACCGCACUUAAAGAACAGGAAGACAUUUGCUCUCGUCUGAAAGAUCACGUGAAACAACUGGAAAGGAAUCAAGAAGCAAUCAAGUUAGAAAAGACUGAGAUCAUUAAUAGGUUGACAAGAAGUCUAGAGGAGAGUCAAAAGCAGUGUGCCCACUUG